This is a long non-coding RNA of Drosophila arizonae, 520 nucleotides long. The record is from RefSeq and is a predicted model, not a curated record. Lineage: Eukaryota; Metazoa; Arthropoda; Insecta; Diptera; Drosophilidae.
AAUAUUUGUUCAACAUUUAAGCAUCGACAUUAUCAUCAUUGUCGCAAGUUUGUUUGGCUUCGCAUCAGGAUUUUAUGGAGCGCACAAAUAUGAGACAGGAUCAAGAACGAGCAGAAUGUGGACAAGGCAAAGGGCAAGCCAAGAGAGCAAGCGAGAGGCUGAGGGAACGGGAACGGGAACGGGCACUAGAAUCUGCUCUGGAAAAAUAUUUUGUUCAUUAAUGUGGCACCCCGCCCCAAACGAGCCGUAGAUGGAAAGCGACUAGAGCAAGAGGGCACAAAAAAGAGGGAGAGAGAAGAAAACUUGUGCACGACUUGAGGCUGCGCUGGGAGUGCUAUGAAAAUUAGCUUGAGCUGAAAGGUAUAACCAAAGUAAAAAUAAAUAAGCAGCAAAAAAAAAAAAAUAUAAGAACAGAAGGGAAGCAGGAAAAAAAUAGGAAAAGAAAAAGAAAGCCGAAAAGUAAAAGCUUUGCCACUAGCCAGUUUAUUGUGUACAAACAUUUUGCGGCAGGACAACAGCG